Molecule: ribosomal RNA, 298 nt
Filed under: uncultured bacterium
Lineage: Bacteria
Description: partial 16S ribosomal RNA
Rfam family: Bacterial small subunit ribosomal RNA
Source: RNAcentral
CUAUGCGCCUUGCCAGCCCGCUCAGGUGUGCCAGCAGCCGCGGUAAUACGGAGGAUGCGAGCGUUAUCCGGAUUUAUUGGGUUUAAAGGGUGCGUAGGCGGUCCGUUAAGUCAGCGGUAAAAUUGCGGGGCUCAACCCCGUCGAGCCGUUGAAACUGUCAGACUUGAGUUGGCGAGAAGUACGCGGAAUGCGCGGUGUAGCGGUGAAAUGCAUAGAUAUCGCGCAGAACUCCGAUUGCGAAGGCAGCGUACCGGCGCCACACUGACGCUGAGGCACGAAAGCGUGGGGAUCGAACAGG